RNAcentral lists this ribosomal RNA (59 nucleotides) under Fusarium equiseti. RNAcentral describes it as "partial 18S ribosomal RNA". The record is from RNAcentral. Lineage: Eukaryota; Fungi; Ascomycota; Sordariomycetes; Hypocreales; Nectriaceae.
UUGGAAAGUUACACACUUCGUAACAAGGUCUCCGUUGGUGAACCAGCGGAGGGAUCAUU